GGGUGGGAGCAGAUUCUUUCCUGCUGCCUCAUUGCGGCUCCGAGAAAGGAAGUGUGAGUGCCCAGGGUGGGCACCCUGCACACAACCGCAGCCCAUCCGUGGGCAGUUGAGCCUGCCGUCUCGGGGGGAUGCUGUCACGGUGAUGCUGAUCAGAGUAGCCACCACAGCCAAUGGUCAGCUGAUCCCACAAGCCCUCCCUGCUCCUUAGCAGUUGAAAGAGCCACUGCAUGAAGACAUCUGGAUGGGAACACUGCAAGCCUUCGGCCAGUAAUACAUACUCAUUGAGAAGAACUCGAAAAUAUGUAACAAACCUGCACGUUGUGCACAUGUACCCUAGAAC
Molecule: long non-coding RNA, 340 nt
Organism: Pan troglodytes (chimpanzee)
Lineage: Eukaryota; Metazoa; Chordata; Mammalia; Primates; Hominidae
Exons: 3
Source: RefSeq, a predicted model, not a curated record